RNAcentral lists this long non-coding RNA (317 nucleotides) under Dermacentor andersoni. RNAcentral describes it as "uncharacterized LOC126516834". The record is from RNAcentral. Lineage: Eukaryota; Metazoa; Arthropoda; Arachnida; Ixodida; Ixodidae.
AAAUAUUUUAAUUUUUCGAGUCAUAGCCACACACGUGCCAAUUCCGCAUCCAAUCCAUUUUGCUACGCACACUUAAGAUGGCGGCUGCGUGAAAACAGCUGAUCGGUUCUGUGGGCCGCUCUUGGUGUAUUUUUGUCCGUAACGUGAUUAGAUGAAAUCUCGCCGUACGAGGUACUUUCGCCCGAGAAUUCUGGAAGCUGUGAACAUCAUGAAGACUGUGAAAGCGUAGUGCUCGGAUACGGAAGAAUCGAUGAAGGUUGGAAGGCAUCUCAACAGAUAGCUGGAAGACGGGAGGCGGAAAGUUGGGCGGCCUGGAG